UACGUAGGGUGCAAGCGUUGUCCGGAAUUAUUGGGCGUAAAGAGCUCGUAGGCGGUUUGUCGCGUCUGCUGUGAAAUCCCGAGGCUCAACCUCGGGCCUGCAGUGGGUACGGGCAGACUAGAGUGCGGUAGGGGAGAUUGGAAUUCCUGGUGGAGCGGUGAAAUGCGCAGAUAUCAGGAGGAACACCCGUAGCGAAGGCGGCACUCUGGGCCGGAACUGACGCUGAGGAGCGAAAGCGUGGGGAGCGAACAGG
RNAcentral lists this ribosomal RNA (253 nucleotides) under uncultured bacterium. Its description in RNAcentral is "partial 16S ribosomal RNA". It matches the Rfam family "Bacterial small subunit ribosomal RNA", at positions 524 to 776 of the family's 1533-position model. The record is from RNAcentral.